CCCUAUUCGUGCUUUGCGAGGCUUGUCUUGGCUUUGCAAUGUUGGCAUCGGCAACAACACAUGGCUGCGCGUCGUGUGUUGGGGCUGGUGUUGGCUUUGUAUCGGCGAGGCAAGUGUACGUGCGGCACAUGAGUGGUGUUCGGCUUGUGUGGCUAGGUUGGAUCCCUGCUCAACAACACAUGGCUGCGCGUCACGUUUGGGGCUGGUGUUAGCUUUGUAUCGACGAGGCAAGUGUACGUGCGGCACAUGAGUUGUGUUCGGCUUGUGUGGCUAGGUUGGAUCCCUGCUCGAGUAGCGACGUCCUAGCUCGCAUGCCAUCUCAGUCAUGUCAUAAGCGCAAAUUAGGCUUGUUCGACGCCGAUUUUCUUUGUUGCAUACCUAAUGCCAAGGCAUUAUCAAGCACAACCGGUCGUUGUUCGCCCCUCGCGUUCGACGUUCGGGGUGAACCAAAAGCUGCAGUUGUGUCCCAAGUCGUCCUAGCUUCGCCUUGCGAUGGCUUGGUCCACGACUUAGCAUGCUCGGGAUCUCCAAUUCGGUAAACGCAAUGGGCACGGGGCCUUCAUUGGCUUCCUAUCAAGCACAAUCGGUCGCCUUUCGCCCCUCACGUUCGAUGUGCGGGGUGAACCAUGAGCUGCAGUUGUGUCCCAGGUUGUCCUGGCUUCGCCUUGCGAUAGCUUGGUCCACGACUUAGCAUUCUUGGGCUCCCGGAUUAGGUAAAUGCAAUGGGCACGUGGCCUUCAUUGGCUCCUAUCUGCCCAAAGAAUGCUCCUUACAAAUGACGGUCGUGCUCGCCUUGGACUUGUCCGUGCCCUUUUAUGUCAACAACGCUUAUGCGACGCUGACGUCAAUGAGGAAUGCUACCUGGUUGAUCCUGCCAGUAGUCAUAUGCUUGUCUUUAAGAUUAAGCCAUGCAUGUGUAAGCAUGAACAAAUUCAGACAGUGAAACUGCGAAUGGCUCAAUAAAUCAGUUAUAGUUUAUUUGAUGAUAUCUACUACUUGGAUAACCGUACUAAUUCUAGAGUUGAUACGUGCAACAAACCCCAACUUUUGGAAGGGAUGCAUUUAUUAGAUAAAAGCUCGACGCUGGCUCUGCCCGUUGCUGCGAUGAUUCAUGAUAACUCAACGGAUCACACGGCCAUCGUGCCGGCGACGCAUCGUUCAAAUUUCUGCCCUAUCAACUUUCGAUGGUAGGAUAGUGGCCUACGAUGGUGGUGAUGGGUGACGGAGAAUUAGGGUUCGAUUCCGGAGAGGGAGCUUGAGAAAUGGCUACCACAUCCAAGGAAGGCAGCAAGCGUGCAAAUUACCCAAUCCUGACAUGGGGAGGUAGUGACAAUAAAUAACAAUACCGGGCUCUAUGAGUCUGGUAAUUGGAUUGAGUACAAUCUAAAUCUCUUAACGAGGCUCCAUUGGAGGGCAAGUCUGGUGCCAGCAGCAGUGGUAAUUCCAGCUCCAAUUGCGUAUAUUUAAGUUGUUGAAGUUAAAAAGCUCGUAGUUGGACUUUGGGAUGGGCCGGCCGGUCCGCCUUUGGUGUGCACCGGUCGUCUCGUCCCUUCUGCUUAAAAAGCUCGUAGUUGGACUUUGGGAUGGGCCGGCCGGUCCUCCUUAGGCGUGCACUGGUCGUCUCGUCCCUUCUGCCGGCGAUGCGCUCCUGACCUUAAUUGGCCGGGUCGUGCCCUCGGCGCUGAUACUUUGAAGAAAUUAGAGUACUCAAAGCAAGCCUACGCUCUGUAUACAUUAGCAUGGGAUAACAUUAUAAAAUUUCAGUCCUAUUACAUUGGCCUUCGGGAUCGGAGUAAUGAUUAACAAGGACAGUAGCGCCACAAGGUGCUGUGCGCACAGGGAGAAGCUGAGUAGAUGUUCAUUGCCAUCGGUUGUUGCGGGAAACAUCGGGAGGCGACAUCGCUCGUGGAAGCUCAAGGCUUUUUGCAACAAAAUUGCAAAGCAUCAUGCAAGUAGAGCCGCAAUGUGCCGUGCGCACGAGGCGAAGCUUAGUAUGUUGCUGAUUGCCAUCGGUUGUUGCGGUUAACAUCGGGAGGCGACAUCGCUUGUGGCAGCUGAUGGCUUUUGUCAACAAAAUGGCAAAGCAUCGUGCAAGUAGCGCCGCAAGGUGCCGUGCGCAUGAGGUGAAGCUUAGUAAGUUGCCGAUUGCCAUCGGUUGAUGUGGGUUGUGUCUGGCAUUGUUCAAACCCCCUAUUCGUGCUUUGCGGGGCUUGUCUAGCUUAAUAAGUUGUCGAUUGCCAUCGAUUGUUGCAGGCAACAUCGGGAGGCGACAUCGCUAGUGGCGGCUGAUGGCUUUUGGCAACAAAAUGGCAAAGCAUCGUGUAAGUAGUGACGCAAGGUGCCGUGCUCACGGGGCAAAGCUUAGUAAGUGUAUGAUUGCCAUCAGUUGUUGCGGGAAAUAUCAGAAGGAAAUAUCGCUCGUGGCGGCUGAUGGCUUUUCGCAGUGGAACGGCAAAGCAUCGUGCAAGUAGCACCGCAAGGUGCCAUGCGCAUGGGGCGAAGCUCAUUAAGUUGCCUAUUGCCAUCGGUUGUUGUGGGUUGUGUCUGCAUUGUUCAAAACUCCUAUUCGUGCUUUGCGAGACUUGUCUUGGAUUUGUAAUGUUGGCAUCGGCAACAACACAUGGCUGCGCGUCACUUGUUGGGGCUGGUGUUGGCUUUGUAUCAGCGAGGCAAGUGUACGUGCGGCACAUGAGUGGUGUUCGGCUUGUGUGGCUAGGUUGGAUCCCUGCUCGAGCAGCGACGUCCUAGUCGCGUGUUGGGGCUGGUGUUGGCUUUGUAUCAGCGAGGCAAGUGUACGUGCGGCACAUGAGUGGUGUUCGGCUUGUGUGGCUAGGUUGGAUCCCUGCUCGAGUAGCGACGUUGUAGGUCGCAUGCCAUCUCAGU
Molecule: long non-coding RNA, 2883 nt
Filed under: Nicotiana benthamiana
Lineage: Eukaryota; Viridiplantae; Streptophyta; Magnoliopsida; Solanales; Solanaceae
Description: long non-coding RNA (NBEN_LNC024985)
Rfam family: Eukaryotic small subunit ribosomal RNA (bases 862-1890)
Source: RNAcentral